UCGCAGAAGCGUUUUCAAAUAGCGAUUUGUAACGGCUAUUUUCCUCCAUUUCGUGACUGCUGUCAUCUCUAACACACGGAAGAACAUCCACAUAAACCCUGACAUUGUUCAGUAUUCUCUCAAACAGCCGUUUGAGUCACCUCAAAUGUAGCAGAGGGCCAGAUUGAAACGGUCCGAUGCACUUCACUUGCAAUGCUUUCUACUUACUGCUGUGGACAUGAAAGGAUUGUCCUAGGCUUGCUCAUGCUGAUGGGCUGCACCACAGCAGUACUGUAGCUGAAUUCCUGUCGGACAACAUCUUCAGGAUGCUUUGACUAGGACACCUCCAAUGUGAAGCAGUGGACAGCUAAAGAUGUUGCUGGCUGUUAUUGCUAGA
Danio aesculapii is the source of this 376-nucleotide long non-coding RNA. RefSeq lists it as uncharacterized. The transcript is spliced from 5 exons. NCBI's taxonomy places the organism in Eukaryota, Metazoa, Chordata, Actinopteri, Cypriniformes, Danionidae. The record is from RefSeq and is a predicted model, not a curated record.